RNAcentral lists this transfer RNA (75 nucleotides) under Caudoviricetes sp. Its description in RNAcentral is "tRNA-Arg". It matches the Rfam family "tRNA". Rfam says of the family: Transfer RNA (tRNA) molecules are approximately 80 nucleotides in length. Their secondary structure includes four short double-helical elements and three loops (D, anti-codon, and T loops). The record is from RNAcentral. Lineage: Duplodnaviria; Heunggongvirae; Uroviricota; Caudoviricetes.
UGGGUCAGUAGCUCAGGGGAAAGAGCAACUGCCUUCUAAGCAGUCGGUCGUAGGUUCGAUUCCUACCUGACCCGU